Molecule: long non-coding RNA, 1397 nt
Filed under: Salmo salar (Atlantic salmon)
Lineage: Eukaryota; Metazoa; Chordata; Actinopteri; Salmoniformes; Salmonidae
Description: lncRNA (ENSSSAG00000090869.1)
Source: RNAcentral
GAAAAAUUGAAGUUUUUGCAUUUUUGAGGUAUUUGAAUAUCGCGCCACGGGAUUACACUGGCUGUUGAGUAGGUGGGACGCAAGCGUCCCACCUAGCCCAUAGAGGUUAAGCUGGCUCUUGAGGAAUGGCGUCACUGGCUGGAGGGCUCUGUCCCCCCUUCAUUGUGUGGACUGAGCAUAAAAACCUGUCCUUCAUCCAGACCGCCAAACGUCUGAACACCCGGCAAGCCAGAUGGGCCUUGUUCUUUGGUAGAUUCAAGUUCACACUCCCUUAUCGCUCCACUAAACCAACUUCCGGGCUGCUGCUCCCUCUUCACAUAUCCAGUCGCCCCUGGUCACACAUAGCUCUGGACUUUGUCACUGGCCUUACCCCAACUAACGGUAACUCCGUCAUCCUCACCGUUAUUGACAGGUUUUCCAAAGUGGCUCACUUCAUUCCCCUCUCCAAGCUCCCAUCAUCCAGGGAGACUGCGGACCUGCUAGUAUCCCAUGUGUUUCAUCUGCAUGGCAUUCCCACUGACAUCGUUUCCGACAGGGGGCCCCAGUUUACCUCCCAGUUAUGGAGAUCCUUCUGUUCAGCUCUUGGUAUCAAUGUCAGUCUUCAGGAUAUAACCUCCAGACUAACGGCAAGACCAAACAGGCCAACCAAGAGAUGGAGACUGCCCUAUGCUGUGUAACUUCUGUUAACGCUUCCUCCUGGAGUGCUCAGCUACCCUGGGUUGAAUAUGCCCACAACACCCUCACCAACGCCUCAUCAGGACAAUCUGCGCCAUUGUCUUCGUACCUGUAGGAAGGCUCAGGCUGCCCUUCUUCGUGCCUCCAACAGGACCCAGUCCCAAGCCAACCGUCACCGGGUCUCAGCCCAAGUCUACACCCCAGGUCAAAAGGUAUGGCUCUCAUCAAAUGACCUGCCAUUGAAGGUGGCAUUGAAGAAACCUUCCCCCCGAUUCAUUGGUCCCCUUGAAAUUGACCCUGUCAUUAAUCCCUCUGCUGUGCACCUCAAACUCGCUGCCUCUCUCAGGAUUCAUCCUACCUUCCAUGUAUCCCUGAUUAAACCUGUCUGCUCCAGUCCCGUCUCCUCCUGCAGCAGCUCCUCCACCCCCUUGGCUCAUCGAUGACUGUCCGGCGGCUUUUGGAUGUGCGCCGUCGGGGUCAUGGCUGGCAGUACCUAGUGGACUGGGAAGGAUACUGGGAAGGGGGGGUGUACUGUUACAUCUGCUCCUGCCACACCCUCUACUGCUCAUCCUGUUUCUCCUUGACCUGCCACCACUUCCCCAGUGCUCUCUCCCUCUCCCUCUCCCUCUCCCUCUCCCUCUGUCUCUGUCUCUCUGUGGUUGUGUGGGCGGAGACAGGUGUGCUGGAGUCAGAGCAGAUCCCUACCAGCUACAACCUGUUCC